Molecule: ribosomal RNA, 253 nt
Filed under: uncultured bacterium
Lineage: Bacteria
Description: partial 16S ribosomal RNA
Rfam family: Bacterial small subunit ribosomal RNA
Source: RNAcentral
UACGGAGGAUGCAAGCGUUAUCCGGAAUGAUUGGGCGUAAAGCGUCCGCAGGUGGCAAUGUAAGUCUGCUGUCAAAGCGUCUGGCUCAACCAGAUAAAGGCAGUGGAAACUACAUAGCUAGAGUAAGGUAGGGGUAGAGGGAAUUCCUGGUGUAGCGGUGAAAUGCGCAGAUAUCAGGAAGAACACCCGUGGCUAAGGCGGUUCUCUAGUACGGUACUGACGCUGAGACGCGAAAGCGUGGGGAGCGAACAGG